RNAcentral lists this ribosomal RNA (474 nucleotides) under uncultured bacterium. RNAcentral describes it as "bacterial SSU rRNA". It matches the Rfam family "Bacterial small subunit ribosomal RNA", at positions 28 to 524 of the family's 1533-position model. The record is from RNAcentral.
GACGAACGCUGGCGGCGUGCUUAACACAUGCAAGUCGAGCGGUAAGGCCUUUCGGGGUACACGAGCGGCGAACGGGUGAGUAACACGUGGGUGACCUGCCUUUAGCUUCGGGAUAAGCCUGGGAAACCGGGUCUAAUACCGGAUAUGACCUCAUGUCGCAUGGUGUGGGGUGGAAAGUUCUUCGGCUAGAGAUGGGCCCGCGGCCUAUCAGCUUGUUGGUGGGGUGAUGGCCUACCAAGGCGACGACGGGUAGCCGGCCUGAGAGGAUGAUCAGCCACACUGGGACUGAGACACGGCCCAGACUCCUACGGGAGGCAGCAGUGGGGAAUAUUGGACAAUGGGCGCAAGCCUGAUCCAGCCAUGCCGCGUGAGUGAUGAAGGCCCUAGGGUUGUAAAGCUCUUUCGCCAGGGACGAUAAAUGACGGUACCUGGAUAAGAAGCCCCGGCUAACUUCGUGCCAGCCGCCGCCGUAAC